UUUUUUGGUGCGGUAAUUUUGAUGCGUUAAAUAUAAUGCCACUUUUUUUAAAAUGUCAGCUAUUAUAUCACAACAAUAUACAUCAUAAUAUUAUGUACUAAAUUUCAAAUGAGUAUUAUUAUUACUCCUAAUCUUAUAGACGAUGUAAGAUCAAGAGAAAACCUUUGGAAUCCACAAGAUAAAGAGUUUUAUAAUAGGAAGCUAAAAUACAGGGGAUGGGAAGAAAUAGGUGCAAUCCAUGGCGUCUCAUCCUCUACUGCAAAAACAAAAUUCAAACAUAUAAAA
Gordionus sp. m RMFG-2023 is the source of this 285-nucleotide long non-coding RNA. RefSeq lists it as uncharacterized. Lineage: Eukaryota; Metazoa; Nematomorpha; Gordioida; Chordodea; Parachordodidae. The transcript is spliced from 3 exons. The record is from RefSeq and is a predicted model, not a curated record.